GACGAACGCUGGCGGCGUGCCUAAUACAUGCAAGUAGAACGCUGAAGCGAGGAGCUUACUCUUCUUGGAUGAGUUGCGAACGGGUGAGUAACGCGUAGGUAACCUGCCUUGUAGCGGGGGAUAACUAUUGGAAACGAUAGCUAAUACCGCAUAACAAUGGAUGACACAUGUCAUUUAUUUGAAAGGGGCAAUUGCUCCACUACAAGAUGGACCUGCGUUGUAUUAGCUAGUAGGUGAGGUAAUGGCUCACCUAGGCGACGAUACAUAGCCGACCUGAGAGGGUGAUCGGCCACACUGGGACUGAGACACGGCCCAGACUCCUACGGGAGGCAGCAGUAGGGAAGCUUCGGCAAUGGGGGCAACCCUGACCGAGCAACGCCGCGUGAGUGAAGAAGGGUUUCGGAUCGUAAAGCUCUGUUGUAAGUCAAGAACGGGUGUGAGAGUGGAAAGUUCACACUGUGACGGUAGCUUACCAGAAAGGGACGGCUAACUACGUG
RNAcentral lists this ribosomal RNA (497 nucleotides) under uncultured bacterium. RNAcentral describes it as "partial 16S ribosomal RNA". It matches the Rfam family "Bacterial small subunit ribosomal RNA", at positions 28 to 507 of the family's 1533-position model. The record is from RNAcentral.